GUUUGACCUCAAAUCAGGUAGGAUUACCCGCUGAACUUAAGCAUAUCAAUAAGCGGAGGA
Molecule: ribosomal RNA, 60 nt
Filed under: Lachancea fermentati
Lineage: Eukaryota; Fungi; Ascomycota; Saccharomycetes; Saccharomycetales; Saccharomycetaceae
Also listed under: 10 other names
Description: partial 28S ribosomal RNA
Rfam family: Eukaryotic large subunit ribosomal RNA
Source: RNAcentral